CUGCCACACAAAGAUGAUGAAUUCCUAACUUUGUUGGGUCUCUGAAGAAAAGCCCAAAACUUGAAUUUGGAAAGACCAUUUCUGUAUUAUUACCUGAACGGUGAAGUGAAACUCGUGGUGAACGGUGCCCAAAUAGUCUGCAACUUCUUUUGCAGCCUUCAGAUCCGGUGAGCCCUGUUUGACAGAUGCAGAGUCUGGUUUAAGGACUAAAAGUCCAUAUCCUUUACAGUUAUAUUGAAAUUUGUUGUCUUUAAACUCACCUCUAGCCCAACACAGAAGGAAUGGAGCUGUGCUCCCCACUGCUUAGCAGCCUUUGUGCCUGCUAAGUGGCGAGCGGUAAUAGAGGCAACUAAGGAUGAAUCCAGACCUCCUGACAGCAGAACCCCAAAAGGAACAUCGGUCAUUAACCUCUUG
RNAcentral lists this long non-coding RNA (414 nucleotides) under Vitis vinifera (wine grape). RNAcentral's name for it is "long non-coding RNA (VVIN_LNC001764)". The record is from RNAcentral. Lineage: Eukaryota; Viridiplantae; Streptophyta; Magnoliopsida; Vitales; Vitaceae.